Molecule: ribosomal RNA, 289 nt
Filed under: uncultured microorganism
Description: partial 16S ribosomal RNA
Rfam family: Bacterial small subunit ribosomal RNA
Source: RNAcentral
GUGCCAGCAGCCGCGGUAAUACGUAGGGUGCAGCGUAAUCGGAAUUACUGGGCGUAAAGCGUGCGCAGCGGUCCGCUAAGACAGAUGUGAAAUCCCCGGGCUUAACCUGGGAACUGCGUUUGUGACUGGCGGGCUAGAGUAUGGCAGAGGGGGGUAGAAUUCCACGUGUAGCAGUGAAAUGCGUAGAGAUGUGGAGGAAUACCGAUGGCGAAGGCAGCCCCCUGGGCCAAUACUGACGCUCAUGCACGAAAGCGUGGGGAGCAAACAGGAUUAGAUACCCUGGUAGUCC